AAUGAACGUUGGCGGCAUGGAUUAGGCAUGCAAGUCGAGCGAGAACCGUAGCAAUACGGGGACAGCGGCGAAAGGGAGAGUAAUGUGUGGAUAUCUACCUCCAGGCCUGGGACAACUACGGGAAACUGUAGCUAAUACCAGAUAAUGUCUGCGGACCAAAGGUGUGAUUCCUCCGGGAGAUGAGUCAACAUCCUAUUAGCUAGUUGGUAGGGUAAGGGCCUACCAAGGCAAUGAUGGGUAGCAGGUGUGAGAGCACGACCUGCCUCAUUGGGACUGAGACACUGCCCAGACACCUACGGGUGGCUGCAGUCGAGAAUCUUCGGCAAUGGGCGCAAGCCUGACCGAGCGAUGCCGCGUGCGGGAUGAAGGCCUUCGGGUUGUAAACCGCUGUCAGAGGGGAUGAAAUACGUCGGGGGUUCUCCCCCGGGUUUGACAUAUCCUCAGAGGAAGGACGGGCU
RNAcentral lists this ribosomal RNA (458 nucleotides) under uncultured bacterium. RNAcentral describes it as "partial 16S ribosomal RNA". It matches the Rfam family "Bacterial small subunit ribosomal RNA", at positions 29 to 498 of the family's 1533-position model. The record is from RNAcentral.